ACUGCCCUAUGGGUUGUAAACUGCUUUUGUACGGGAAUAAACCCUUCUACGUGUAGAAGGCUGAAUGUACCGUAAGAAUAAGGAUCGGCUAACUUCGUGC
This 100-nucleotide ribosomal RNA is filed under the name uncultured bacterium. RNAcentral describes it as "partial 16S ribosomal RNA". The record is from RNAcentral.